UACUGUAGUCUCACUCUUGAUAUGCGC
RNAcentral lists this non-coding RNA (27 nucleotides) under Bombyx mori (domestic silkworm). Lineage: Eukaryota; Metazoa; Arthropoda; Insecta; Lepidoptera; Bombycidae. The record is from RNAcentral.